ACAUAGCUCCUAAACUGGAGUGGUCAAUCCCAUCUUGACACACGCACCAACAAGUCAAGUACUUGACUACACCCAGCAGCCUUCCGUCACUGAAUUAAAAAUUCAAGUAGUCCAGUGCCUAAGUGCAGUGAGUUGCUUGCAAGUCACCGUGGCGGUCUCAGGUCGGAGGGAUAUUUAUACCCAUAUUCCAUCGGAGCAAAUCUUGAUAGCAGAAAUAGCUCCGGAGUCGGUCACGUUCAGUACAGAUGUACCCUUACAUCUCACCUGUAUGCCAUACCAGUGUCUCCACACU
RNAcentral lists this long non-coding RNA (292 nucleotides) under Elaeis guineensis (African oil palm). RNAcentral's name for it is "long non-coding RNA (EGUI_LNC038669)". The record is from RNAcentral. Lineage: Eukaryota; Viridiplantae; Streptophyta; Magnoliopsida; Arecales; Arecaceae.